GAUGAACGUACUAUCAAAACCAAUACAGAUUGAUUUUGGAUGCUUGAUUCAGUUGGAAAGAUGACUAAACCUUUCUCAGCUUGUUGUAUUCUGCUUAUCCUCCUCAUUGCAGCAUCAGUGAGUACAAUACCAAAGGUGGAAGGAGCAAAAGGAAGAGGGUUUUUUUGCUACGAAAAUCUGUUUAUAUGCCAAGAUAGAGAUGACCCCAAUUGCCUCAAAAGUUGCAUAGCAAGACAUCGAGGGCCUUCGGACCGUCCCUUGGGUUUUUGUGAGCUUUAUUCCUUAAAUUGCUUUUGCCUUUGGGAAUGCGAUGAGUCAGCAACAUGCCGCAAAUCGAUCUUGAGCGAUCAUCCAUGAUUCAAUUCUCCCAAUAAAAAUAAUAGUAAUGCUACCCUCCAUAAGGCUAGCUAAUAGCUUUCCUCCAACAAGCCUAGCUAGGUCAACAGUUGGGUAGUAUAGGAGGAGGAGGAGUAAAGUAAACUCUACUCUGUUUUUGAGUUCUAAUUUUAUGUUAUCAACAGUUGGGUAUUUCAUGCUUCAAUUUAAUUAUGUAUCCACAGUUCAUUAGUUUACCAAGUACUGAUCCGUGCGUACUUACUUGGAAGUGUCUCAAUCGAUCUCUUAAUUUCUUCUAAUCAAACGCCGUGUAACUCUC
This is a long non-coding RNA of Rhododendron vialii, 655 nucleotides long. RefSeq lists it as uncharacterized. The record is from RefSeq and is a predicted model, not a curated record. NCBI's taxonomy places the organism in Eukaryota, Viridiplantae, Streptophyta, Magnoliopsida, Ericales, Ericaceae. The transcript has 2 exons.